RNAcentral lists this ribosomal RNA (391 nucleotides) under uncultured bacterium. RNAcentral describes it as "bacterial SSU rRNA". It matches the Rfam family "Bacterial small subunit ribosomal RNA", at positions 30 to 424 of the family's 1533-position model. The record is from RNAcentral.
AUUGAACGCUGGCGGCAUGCCUUACACAUGCAAGUCGAACGGCAGCGGACCUUCGGGUGCCGGCGAGUGGCGAACGGGUGAGUAAUAUAUCGGAACGUACCUUUCAGUGGGGGAUAACGUAGCGAAAGUUACGCUAAUACCGCAUAUUCUGUGAGCAGGAAAGCAGGGGAUCGCAAGACCUUGCGCUGAUUGAGCGGCCGAUAUCAGAUUAGCUAGUUGGUGAGGUAAAGGGCUCACCAAGGCGACGAUCUGUAGCGGGUCUGAGAGGAUGAUCCGCCACACUGGAACUGAGACACGGUCCAGACUCCUACGGGAGGCAGCAGUGGGGAAUUUUGGACAAUGGGCACAAGCCUGAUCCAGCCAUGCCGCGUGAGUGAAGAAGGCCUCGGUU